UCCAGACUCCUACGGGAGGCAGCAGUGAGGAAUAUUGGUCAAUGGCCGCAGGGCUGAACCAGCCAAGUCGCGUGAGGGAUGACGGUCCUAUGGAUUGUAAACCUCUUUUGUCAGGGAGCAAAGGGCGCCACGUGUGGCGUUUUGCGAGUACCUGAAGAAAAAGCAUCGGCUAACUCCGUGCCAGCAGCCGCGGUAAUACGGAGGAUGCGAGCGUUAUCCGGAUUUAUUGGGUUUAAAGGGUGCGCAGGCGGGGGAUCAAGUCAGCGGUAAAAUGUCGGGGCUCAACCCCGGCCGGCCGUUGAAACUGGUUUUCUAGAGUUGGAGAGAAGUAUGCGGAAUUCGUGGUGUAGCGGUGAAAUGCAUAGAUAUCACGAAGAACUCCGAUUGCGAAGGCAGCAUACCGGCGCCAUACUGACGCUGAGGCACGAAAGCGUGGGGAUCGAACAGGAUUAGAUACCCCCGUAGG
RNAcentral lists this ribosomal RNA (466 nucleotides) under uncultured bacterium. RNAcentral's name for it is "bacterial SSU rRNA". It matches the Rfam family "Bacterial small subunit ribosomal RNA", at positions 330 to 794 of the family's 1533-position model. The record is from RNAcentral.